This 670-nucleotide long non-coding RNA is filed under the name Cricetulus griseus (Chinese hamster). Its description in RNAcentral is "lncRNA (ENSCGRG00015038718.1)". The record is from RNAcentral. Lineage: Eukaryota; Metazoa; Chordata; Mammalia; Rodentia; Cricetidae.
ACCAGAUUGGCACUCUGAGAAGUCCAGUCUCAGAUGCACUCCAAAACUGACCUGAAUCUCCAAAAAGGAAUCGCUGGGGUGGGGAUAUUCCCUGUGGCCACCCCUGAGAUUACACUGGGCUCCAGACACUAGCUUGGAAGUGAGAUGACAGAAACAAUGACCCAGCCAAUAAUGUUAUCACAAAGCUGGGGUUUUCAGCAGGGCGCCAGGUGGCCUAAGGAUCUGAUUGCACUUGGCCAAACGCUCGGCUCGGCAAGGGCACCAGUCUUGAUCUGCCCAGUACAGAGCCCCACCACCAGUUCGGCGAUGAAAGUGUCCUCCCUCUCCCCAGAUCAAUGGGACACCAUGACAUCCCAGCCAUUGGACUGAGCCAGCUUACAAGCCUGCAGAGACUCGAUCACAGAGCCAAUCUGGUUGGCUUUGAGCAGGAGGCAGUUGCAGGACUUCUCACUGACAGCCUUGGCAAUCCUCUUAAGGUUGAUUACUGUGAGAUCAUCCCUAACCACCUGGAUGCCAUCACUAGCUGUGAACUUCUGCCAGGUCUCCCAGUCGUCCUCGAUGGACACCACUAGAUACUCCCAGAUGAAGGACUUAUACAGGUCAGCCAGCUGGUCGGGUGUGAUGUACCUGCUGGGGUCAUCAGGAGACUUGAAGCCCAGGUCAUACUUAC